GGGGAUACAUAGAAAUUUUAAUUUAUGUGUUUUGUUUUCUUAUUUUGUGCUCUGUUUAAAAUUUUUUCAAAGAUAUAUAAAAAUUUUAAAAUUUUGUUUUCUCUUUUUUUUUUCUUGUAUGGUGCUUGAAAUAUGUUGGCUUUGGGAUUAUUGGUUGUUGAUAUUGAAUGAUGUAUUGUUGACUUUUGAGCAUGUAAAUUUCAAUUGAUGUUAGAUAAUUU
This 221-nucleotide long non-coding RNA is filed under the name Gossypium raimondii (Peruvian cotton). Its description in RNAcentral is "long non-coding RNA (GRAI_LNC004502)". The record is from RNAcentral. Lineage: Eukaryota; Viridiplantae; Streptophyta; Magnoliopsida; Malvales; Malvaceae.